UUCAAUUCUUUGUUUUAAUUGUUGAAGAGUAAGGGCAUGACAUUUCCAUUUUUCAACUCACCAGGGAUAUCACCUGAAUGCCAGGACUUUUCAACUAUGAUAGAGUGAGACUUGGCAUCUCCAUCAGCCAGUUCUCUCAGGACCCUGGGAUUCAUGUCAUCAGGUCCCACAGACUUGUACCUGUUUAGAUUCAUCAGGUGGUCUUGAACCUGCUCUUCACUUACAGUGGGUGGGACUUUGAUCCCCCAGCCUCCAUCUACGGGUUCAGGGAAAUGAAAGACUUGGGAAGCCCGUCGACCAGUGCAGACGGAGGCAAAGUAGUUGCUGAGUACCUCAGCCUUCUCCAUGUCUGUCGUUACCAAUUACUCAGAUACAGAAACUCACUCCUAACAUAAGAAAUUAGCCACCUGUAAUUGCUUACACACUACUAUUUUCACCCCUCAGUCUAUUUUCACAAAUGUUAAAGGUGCAUGGUGGCCCUCGGGGACUCCUCCUGUCACCCCAGCGCAGCAGCCUGAAGGGAGCUGGGUCCUCUCUUGUGCUCUUCCUUGAGGCUCUGUGCAGAAGGGAUGCCACCUCUGGCACGAGGGCUGGGGGAUGGGAAAGAAGCACUCACACAACCCCUGAGAAUCAGCAACAGAGUUCUUUAUUGCCGGGUGUUUGGUGGCUCCAAGCUAAUGCCUGGGAUGGAGCCUGAGCGACGAGUAGGGAGCUCGCCGGGCCCUGCUGCGAUGCUGUUGGUGCGCCCUGAUGGCAGGUAGCAAAGACAUGCCGGGGUAGUCCCAGGUCUGAUCUGGCCGAGGUGGAUCCACUUCCAUUGCUUCCUCCACAUAUUCUGUUGGAUUCAGCUCCAUGGGCUCCACGGUGUUUGGCACAAGGAUAAGCCAGUCCUUGCCUGGGACUGCCCAAACGGGAUGCCUCCCAUCUGGAAUGUUUUCGGGCCAGGGUGCUGCACCAGGGGCUCGUCCAGUUCCACCCCUAGGCCCCAUGCCACUGUCUGGUUGAUUUUCACGCAUGGGUUUGAUGCUGCCGUCUGUUUUACGGCCAUGGCUGGGUCUCACACUGUGUUCCGGAUUAUGGGCACGCUUCUGCUCCCCACGGCUCUCUGCCUGACGCUCCUGCCUUCGCUCCAUGCCACCAUUGUGCCACUGGUUAGGCCCAGGCCCCCUGUCGCUGUAUGGCUAAGGUGGCGGCCUGUUUCCCGCAUCGUUGUGGUGCCAGUGGUACCGCCUGUGUGUCUGUGGGCUUCGUGCCAGAGGUCCUUCGGGCACUGGUGUCAGUUGUGCUGCAGGCGCGAUCCCUCUGCCCACGACACUUCUCGUUAGGUGCACUCCUGCUCGGUGCUUCCUUGGACUGCAUUGC
Molecule: long non-coding RNA, 1362 nt
Filed under: Anser cygnoides (Swan goose)
Lineage: Eukaryota; Metazoa; Chordata; Aves; Anseriformes; Anatidae
Description: lncRNA (ENSACDG00005010633.1)
Source: RNAcentral